Long non-coding RNA from Alosa sapidissima (American shad), 622 nucleotides. RefSeq lists it as uncharacterized. NCBI's taxonomy places the organism in Eukaryota, Metazoa, Chordata, Actinopteri, Clupeiformes, Clupeidae. The record is from RefSeq and is a predicted model, not a curated record. The transcript has 3 exons.
GAAAGCCAAAGCUGAGGCACUAGACUUCUUCACUGUUUCAAAAAUGUCUCUGUUUUCUUGUUGUGUCUCUUAUUUCUAGUAGUGUUGUUUUUCUUCAGGCGUUUAUGAAAUAGUGACAGCCCGUUAAAUAGUUUAAUCUCAGCUAGUGGUGCAUUUGCAAGUCAUGUUGUGCCAUAUACAGUGGACUUCAUAUACUACAGACCAAGACAUGGGUGCAGUUUCUUGAUUGCAGUGUUGUCUUCCAGAAUAAAGAUCCCUCUUCAGCCGUCUCCUUCAUGGGUGCACAUGGUUACCUCUGUACAGACCCAGGUACUGUUGGAUCCCACCCCUUCCCAUCAGUGUGCGGUGCAUAUGCAAGGCCAUUGGCAUACAGGAAUGCCUGUCUCUAAGGAAUAUGGCCUCCUGAUUGGCUACACAGACUAGGCUCAACUGCUUCAGAGCCCUGGAAAAUCCCAGGCAAGUUUUCUUUUGUUUCUAGUGAUAACUAUCAUUUAUAUUUCUAAACAGUAUUAAUUAAGAUUUGAUAUGACAUCGUGUUAUGGUGUUGUCCCAUGAAAUUACUAGUUAAUGUCUUUGGUUUUGGCAAACAUAAAAAUCGUUUUUAAGAAAUAAAAAGCCUCAU